CGGAAGGAUCCAAGCGUUGUCCGGAUUUACUGGGUUUAAAGGGUGCGUAGGCGGGCUAUUAAGUCAGUGGUGAAAGCUUGCAGCUUAACUGUAAAAUUGCCAUUGAAACUGAUAGCCUCGAAUAUGGUUGAGGUGGUUGGAAUGUAUCAUGUAGCGGUGAAAUGCUUAGAUAUGAUACAGAACACCGAUUGCGAAGGCAGAUCACUAAACCAUUAUUGACGCUGAGGCACGAAAGCGUGGGGAUCAAACAGGAUUAGAUACCCUGGUAGUCCACGCCCUAAACGUUGCAUACUCGGUUUUAGCGAUAUACCGUUAGGACCCAAGCGAAAGCGUUAAGUAUGCCACCUGGGAAGUACGUCCGCAAGGAUG
RNAcentral lists this ribosomal RNA (369 nucleotides) under uncultured organism. RNAcentral describes it as "bacterial SSU rRNA". It matches the Rfam family "Bacterial small subunit ribosomal RNA", at positions 525 to 896 of the family's 1533-position model. The record is from RNAcentral.